ACGCGCAAGAGCGCCGCCGGUCGGAGUAGGCGGGGCCCUUGCGUAGCGUGCGUUGCUCUGGGUUCCAGGUACUUUCCGACACUCAGGCCCGGGGCGCUAGCGGGCUUCACUGUUCUCCACUCGGGGAUCUGAGUUCUUCGUGGAAGCCGUGCGGCAGGAUCCCUGCUUGACUCCUUGGAAGGAGGCCAUCAUGAAGAGAUUUAUACAUUAAACUUGAAAUGGGCACUGUCAGGUGCCAGCCUCCAGAGCCUUGUAAAGACCUCAACCUAGAGACAUGGCCCAGAAAUAUUUGGGGUCUGCCUGGGCCUUAUCGUCUGCCCUGCACUGUUCCCCGCAACUGAAGGUGUAUACUCCUUCACUUCUUGGCAAGUGAACGGCUUGAGCCUCCCCAGGACUGCCGGCAGCUCUGUCACCUGCCUCACUCUUCCUCCAGCUUUCCAGUGCUUGGGAGUUGGUGAUGUUCCGUAACACAGGGCUGUGGCCCAGCAGCCGUGCCUAGGAAGCCAGGAAGGGCAGCAGAUACUGAAGGCUGCAUUUCUUGGCCACCACCCUAGACUCUAUUCUCUUCUGCCCCUCCUCCAACUCCCCUGGCCUGCUCAGCCACAUAUGAAACCCUUCCCCAACCAACUGGGAGGUAGCCCUGGGAUGCCUGUGCCCCUACCCAGUCAGCACCCCUAUGUUUUCUGUUGGGUCUCAGAGGACACUUACGGGCAAGGACUGGAAACGUCUGAUAGAAAACUGCUCACUGCAGAAGGAAACAAGGAAAGGUCAGAGCUAAAAGUCCCUGGGGACAGGGACUAAAGGCAGGGAAGAUAUCCCUCCCCUAGAUCCCUUGACAUCCCUGGGGGCCAGCCUAUCAUGGGCAGAGAGGGUGAGGGACACUUACUUUCGAAUAAUCCGGCUGGCUGCUUGGAUGGCCUGCUCAAACCUAGAAGACAGAAGAUGUGGCCCAUCUUCCUCUACAUCCCAUUACCCAGCACUAGGCCACAAACCAUAAGGCCCAAGGACCAGGGCUCAGGCCAGAGCAAAGGGAGGGGGAGGAAGAGGCCCACUGUCAGUGGGGCCCAGGUAUUGAGGAAGGGGAGAUGAGAGGCAGCCUGGAAUUUUAAAGGCUUCCCUGAAUGGAAGAGGGCCCAGAGACAAGCAGUGAAGGAGACAGCUGGGGCAGGUCACAGGGUCAUUGAGAUAUCACCAAGGCAACAGUCUCGCCAGCCUGCAUACAAGCCUUCCACCUGUAUGCAAAUCACCUAAGUGGGGCCAUAUGGCUGCCAGGGAAGGCAUCCAUCCACCCCAUGAUGACGGCCAUGGGCAUCUAGCAAUGUGAGUUUAGUCAGGGGUGGAUGCCAGCAAGGCUGGGCUCUCCUCCCCCAGUGAGGAGCUGGUCUGGUUCCUUCCAGGACAGGGGCCUGCUUUAAUGGCCCCCUGGACCAGCCCCAGUCUGCCACAGCAGACCCCCUAGUGACAAAUGUACAGGGUCACAUCCUUUCCUCCCUCCUAUGGAAUUUUCCAGGACCCAGCCUCUGUUCCACCCCCUCCUCCUGCCUUAGAAGAGGCCAGCAGGCAAGGAAUUCCAACAGAUGUUCCUUUUGAAGCUAAAGCAUAAGCUUCUGUAUAUAGGCCCCGCCCCCCAGCUAUGUUACUGGAGACCACCUGCCAUGGGGAACUCUGUGCAUCUGUGCAUGCACACUAACACACACACCAGCUUCUUUCUGAGAAACUAACUGUCAAGGCAGGUGCAGGGGGGGAGGGACUCUGGGCCAAAGUAUCAAGGGGUGUCCCUGUCCCCUCAAGAGAGGGCUGUGCUCAGCCAACUUGGCAUCAGGAUGACCAAUUAAUCUGCUUCAUUUCCAAUUUGCACCUAGUCCUUAGGGGUAAGGCAAGGGCAGCUCUGUGUUGCCCUCCACCCCCACUCAAUUCUGUUUCCUGUUUGUGAACAAACCCUGUACCCCGCCCAGUCGGAUCAAAAGCUAAGGGAGGAAACAGUCACUGCCCUAAACCCAAAGCCACAGUCCCCCGGCUCAGGCUGGGGAUACCCAGCUGCCCCUACUAAUGGUUGGCAGCUGCUCCACCUGCCUGGGCCUUAACAGCUGGAUGGGAACAGCUGUCCUCUGGAAGGCACUACUCACAACCCCUAACAAAGGAAGAAGUAUUCGUCCAGAGCAGAGACCACCAGCUCUCUUGACUUCCAGGGUUUGGCCAGAGAGUAAAGUGUAAAGUGUGUCAUGAAACUAGAGAUUGCUAAUGGGCCAAGGGCCAAAUCAGUCUGCAGCCAACAGUGUGCAACUUUGCCUAAAGCAAAUUAAAGUUUUGAAUUAGUGGGACCAUACUUUUAGGUUGGUGUUUCUCAAACACACACACAUAAUAUGUAUGGGCAAACAAAGGGGACAUAUGGGCUUGGACUGAAAAACAGACUUGGCUAGUGGGAGCCAUCCUCUGCUCCCAGGGAACGCUUUCCCUACCAUUCCUGAGCCCACUCUCAUCUGGUUUCCAUAAAAGCAGACCCUUCCCUGAAACAGGGAGCAAGGUCUGGGAAGGUCAACUAGCCCCAGACAAAUGUUGAGGGAUCUGACUACUUUCCCUGGCCUCUCCACUGAGUUUAGUAGAACUAGGAUUCCCAAAAGUAAGUGGUGAGUCCUUGGUAGUAGGGAUCCACCCCCCUUCUCUACUCACGUCUGUUCUGUCAUCUGGGGGUCCAUAGGGCUGGGGGAAUCCAUGCAGAGACCUAAGGGGACAGAACACCUUGAUCUGAAAGUAGUAUUUUUUAUAUACUUUCCCCACAGCAUCCAAAGAAGAGAAAAAUAAACGUGUUUCUAUUUUAAA
Molecule: long non-coding RNA, 2820 nt
Organism: Ictidomys tridecemlineatus (thirteen-lined ground squirrel)
Lineage: Eukaryota; Metazoa; Chordata; Mammalia; Rodentia; Sciuridae
Source: RefSeq, a predicted model, not a curated record